UCAUCAGAUUAGCAUCAUGCUGUGAAGACCAUCAUCAGAUUAGCAUCAUGCUGUGAAGACCAUCAUCAGAUUAGCAUCAUGCUGUGAAGACCAUCAUCAGGUUAGCAUCAGGCUGUGAAGACCAUCAUCAGGUUAGCAUCAUGCUGUGAAGACCAUCAUCAGGUUAGCAUCAGGCUGUGAAGACCAUCAUCAGGUUAGCAUCAGGCUGUGAAGACCAUCAUCAGGUUAGCAUCAUGCUGUGAAGACCAUCAUCAGAUUAGCAUCAGGCUGUGAAGACCAUCAUCAGAUUAGCAUCAGGCUGUGAAGACCAUCAUCAGAUUAGCAUCAUGCUGUGAAGACCAUCAUCAGGUUAGCAUCAUGCUGUGAAGACCAUCAUCAGAUUAGCAUCAGGCUGUGAAGACCAUCAUCAGAUUAGCAUCAUGCUGUGAAGACCAUCAUCAGAUUAGCAUCAUGCUGUGAAGACCAUCAUCAGAUUAGCAUCAUGCUGUGAAGACCAUCAUCAGACAUUUAAAAAAAAAUGUCCUUCAUCUUUUAAAUGUUUUUCACAAGUCAUGCUUCUUGAAAAUCUGAUUUCACCACUGAGAAAACACACAACCACAACACAACACACCACCACAACACACCACACCACCACAACACACCACCACACUACCACCAUGCACAGCACACUACCACAACACACCACACUACCACAACCACCAAACUACCACCACACUACCACAACACACCACCACACUACCACAACACACUUCCACAACACACCACCACAACACACUUCCACAACACACCACACUACCACAACCACACCACCACAACCACACUACCACAACACACCA
Long non-coding RNA from Oncorhynchus keta (chum salmon), 836 nucleotides. RefSeq lists it as uncharacterized. The transcript is spliced from 4 exons. Lineage: Eukaryota; Metazoa; Chordata; Actinopteri; Salmoniformes; Salmonidae. The record is from RefSeq and is a predicted model, not a curated record.